AUUUUUUGUGUCUUUAACAACAGACUUCGAGGCUGAAAAUCUAAUAAUUUUGUAUAAUUAUUUCACCCCAGGACAUCUCUAUAAUAAUUAUCUAAGUGACUGAAGAAUCAAAGUGACAAAUGAAAAGACCAAAGGAUGAGCCAAGUUUGCUGAUGAUGGGACCAUCUAGUUGCAAGAAAACCAGCCCAGGGCUCCCACUGAUUCUACAUUAGGAUUUUUAACUAUUAGGAAACAAAAGUAAAUCAGAAGGAGCCA
This 255-nucleotide long non-coding RNA is filed under the name Callithrix jacchus (white-tufted-ear marmoset). RNAcentral describes it as "lncRNA (ENSCJAG00000074828.1)". The record is from RNAcentral. Lineage: Eukaryota; Metazoa; Chordata; Mammalia; Primates; Cebidae.